This 493-nucleotide ribosomal RNA is filed under the name uncultured bacterium. RNAcentral describes it as "partial 16S ribosomal RNA". It matches the Rfam family "Bacterial small subunit ribosomal RNA", at positions 29 to 508 of the family's 1533-position model. The record is from RNAcentral.
AGUGAACGCUGGCGGUAGGCCUAACACAUGCAAGUCGAACGGCAGCACAGUAAGAGCUUGCUCUUACGGGUGGCGAGUGGCGGACGGGUGAGGAAUACAUCGGAAUCUACUUUUUCGUGGGGGAUAACGUAGGGAAACUUACGCUAAUACCGCAUACGACCUACGGGUGAAAGCAGGGGAUCUUCGGACCUUGCGCGAUUGAAUGAGCCGAUGUCGGAUUAGCUAGUUGGCGGGGUAAAGGCCCACCAAGGCGACGAUCCGUAGUUGGUCUGAGAGGAUGAUCAGCCACACUGGAACUGAGACACGGUCCAGACUCCUACGGGAGGCAGCAGUGGGGAAUAUUGGACAAUGGGCGCAAGCCUGAUCCAGCCAUACCGCGUGGGUGAAGAAGGCCUUCGGGUUGUAAAGCCCUUUUGUUGGGAAAGAAAAGCAGCAGGUUAAUACCCCGCUGUUCUGACGGUACCCAAAGAAUAAGCACCGGCUAACUUCGUGC